ACGGCAGGGUCCAUCGACGCCUGCCCUUGUGUUGCCAUCGGAUCUUGUAGUCCUCCUCCUCGUCUUCCUUCUCCCUUCUAAUCCCCUGAUUUCUCCGAACAAAAAGCCCUAGAAAUCAGAAUGGCUAUAGAGUUUUUGACGAUUAUUUGGUCUUCUAGUCGUUGCUGGUCGUUUCGUGCCUUUUAGUCUGCUGUGCGUGUUCAAAAAACACUCGCUUAGUGGCGUAGAAGUAGAACAAAAAGGUAUUUUCUCGGGAAAAAGAGUGGGA
This 268-nucleotide unclassified non-coding RNA is filed under the name Hevea brasiliensis (rubber tree). The record is from RNAcentral. Lineage: Eukaryota; Viridiplantae; Streptophyta; Magnoliopsida; Malpighiales; Euphorbiaceae.